RNAcentral lists this small RNA (64 nucleotides) under Flavobacterium xinjiangense. RNAcentral describes it as "Flavo-1 RNA". It matches the Rfam family "Flavo-1 RNA". Lineage: Bacteria; Pseudomonadati; Bacteroidota; Flavobacteriia; Flavobacteriales; Flavobacteriaceae. The record is from RNAcentral.
UUUUAGCCCUGAUGGCAAUGGAAAUCCUUCGCGAAAAAGAUUGAAAUGUACAGCGGGAUUAGCU